This 441-nucleotide ribosomal RNA is filed under the name uncultured bacterium. RNAcentral's name for it is "partial 16S ribosomal RNA". It matches the Rfam family "Bacterial small subunit ribosomal RNA", at positions 338 to 795 of the family's 1533-position model. The record is from RNAcentral.
CCUACGGGGGGCAGCAGUGGGGGAUAUUGCACAAUGGGGGGAACCCUGAUGCAGCGACGCCGCGUGGGUGAAGGAGUGCUUCGGCAUGUAAAGCCCUAUCGGCAGGGAAGAAGCAAGACGGUACCUGACUAAGAAGCCCCGGCUAACUACGUGCCAGCAGCCGCGGUAAUACGUAGGGGGCGAGCGUUAUCCGGAUUCACUGGGUGUAAAGGGAGCGUAGACGGCCAUGCAAGCCAGGGGUGAAAGCCCGGGGCCCAACCCCGGGACUGCCCUUGGAACUGUGCGGCUAGAGUGCGGGAGGGGCAGGCGGAAUUCCUGGUGUAGCGGUGAAAUGCGUAGAUAGCAGGAGGAACACCGGCGGCGAAGGCGGCCUGCUGGACUGCGACUGACGUUGAGGCUCGAAAGCGUGGGGAGCGAACAGGAUUAGAUACCCGGGUAGUC